Molecule: ribosomal RNA, 478 nt
Filed under: uncultured bacterium
Lineage: Bacteria
Description: partial 16S ribosomal RNA
Rfam family: Bacterial small subunit ribosomal RNA
Source: RNAcentral
GAUGAACGCUGGCGGCGUGCUUAACACAUGCAAGUCGAACGGUAAGGCCCUUCGGGGUACACGAGUGGCGAACGGGUGAGUAACACGUGGGUGAUCUGCCCUGCACUUCGGGAUAAGCCUGGGAAACUGGGUCUAAUACCGGAUAGGACCACUGCCUGCAUGGGUGGUGGUGGAAAGCUUUUGCGGUGUGGGAUGGGCCCGCGGCCUAUCAGCUUGUUGGUGGGGUGAUGGCCUACCAAGGCGACGACGGGUAGCCGGCCUGAGAGGGUGACCGGCCACACUGGGACUGAGAUACGGCCCAGACUCCUACGGGAGGCAGCAGGGGGGAAUAUUGCUCAAUGGGCGCAAGCCUGAUGCAGCGACGCCGCGUGAGGGAUGACGGCCUUCGGGUUGUAAACCUCUUUCAGCACCGACGAAGCGCAAGUGACGGUAGGUGCAGAAGAAGGACCGGCCAACUACGUGCCAGCAGCCGCCGUAA